AUUGAACGCUGGCGGCAGGCCUAACACAUGCAAGUCGAACGGUAACAGGAAGCAGCUUGCUGCUUCGCUGACGAGUGGCGGACGGGUGAGUAAUGUCUGGGAAACUGCCUGAUGGAGGGGGAUAACUACUGGAAACGGUAGCUAAUACCGCAUAACGUCGCAAGACCAAAGAGGGGGACCUUAGGGCCUCUUGCCAUCGGAUGUGCCCAGAUGGGAUUAGCUAGUAGGUGGGGUAACGGCUCACCUAGGCGACGAUCCCUAGCUGGUCUGAGAGGAUGACCAGCCACACUGGAACUGAGACACGGUCCAGACUCCUACGGGAGGCAGCAGUGGGGAAUAUUGCACAAUGGGCGAAAGCCUGAUGCAGCCAUGCCGCGUGUAUGAAGAAGGCCUUCGGGUUGUAAAGUACUUUCAGCGGGGAGGAAGGGAGUAAAGUUAAUACCUUUGCUCAUUGACGUUACCCGCAGAAGAAGCACCGGCUAACUCCGUG
Molecule: ribosomal RNA, 490 nt
Filed under: uncultured bacterium
Lineage: Bacteria
Description: partial 16S ribosomal RNA
Rfam family: Bacterial small subunit ribosomal RNA
Source: RNAcentral